Molecule: long non-coding RNA, 622 nt
Filed under: Pogona vitticeps (central bearded dragon)
Lineage: Eukaryota; Metazoa; Chordata; Lepidosauria; Squamata; Agamidae
Description: lncRNA (ENSPVIG00000005886.1)
Source: RNAcentral
AUGGUGCAGAAUCCCUCUUCUCCAUUUUUGCCUCUAGGAGGUGCUGAAGAGUUUCUCCAAGACCAUCUUACCCAGGUGGACAUGGAGAAGGAACUUCAGACCUUAUUUGGCCAAAAUUUCAGACCACACCAAAGGAAAGAGUCUGCCUUGAGGACUUCUUCUACCCUUCCUGUCUCCAGCCUUGGUUUUGGACACCGUAGUUCCAUAAAACUAUAUCCACCACCUCUUGCCCAAACUCAAUCCUGUGGCAUGUUGUCUGUGCUUGUGUCUUGUCCUAGCUCAUGGGGCUCUUCCUUCCCUUUCCAUUCCAGACAGUGAUUAAAGCAAAGGCAUGGAAGGAGGAGACUAGCUGAGGUCCAUGGGGGCAGGAAUGAAGAUGUGAGUUAGUUAGCAAGAAACUGCGGUCUACACACCCACCCCUUUCUCCCCCCAAAGUCCUUCCACUCAUGAAACUGUCUGUUUUGAAAUAAGAACUGCAAAUAUGAUUGUGAAAAAUUGUUGUCACUUAAUUACAUUGUUUGAUGGAGAGAUGUUUUUAUGUCCAGAACUCAAUUGGUGAAAAAAAGUUUAAAGAUGCAAAAACUUAUUUUCCACAAUGAAAUAAACUGGUCCUUUUCAAACA